Nematolebias whitei (Rio pearlfish) is the source of this 297-nucleotide long non-coding RNA. RefSeq lists it as uncharacterized. Lineage: Eukaryota; Metazoa; Chordata; Actinopteri; Cyprinodontiformes; Rivulidae. The transcript is spliced from 3 exons. The record is from RefSeq and is a predicted model, not a curated record.
GACGCCUGAAGCUAACGAAGAGCUCGGAGCCGGCAGGGCGGUGACCGUGACGGCACCAGAACUGAACGGUGACUGCAAGUAAACCUGAAUGUUUUGGAGAUGCUCAGAUAAGCAGGAGAUACGCUGUGGACGAGAACAGAGGGAGGUUUGGAUCUUGUCCGAGGCUACGCAGACUCACGGAUCCUGGACAGAGGAGGUGCAGGUGUUCCCAGACCCUUCAUGGUCUUCCUUGUACGUCUCCAGAAUCCAUCACCACAGGAAGUAGCACCAGCCCAAGGAACGGUGACGUUCAACCAG